AUGUUUCUUGGAACAGAACGUCACAGAGGGUGAGAAUCCCGUGCGAUGAGAUGAUCCAGGCCUAUGUAAAGUUCCUUCGAAGAGUCGAGUUGUUUGGGAAUGCAGCUCUAAGUGGGUGGUAAAUUCCAUCUAAAGCUAAAUAUUGGCGAGAGACCGAUAGCGAACAAGUACAGUGAUGGAAAGAUGAAAAGAACUUUGAAAAGAGAGUGAAAAAGUACGUGAAAUUGUUGAAAGGGAAGGGCUUGAGAUCAGACUUGGUAUUUUGUAUGUUACUUCUUCGGGGGUGGCCUCUACAGUUUAUCGGGCCAGCAUCAGUUUGGGCGGUAGGAGAAUUGCGUUGGAAUGUGGCACGGCUUCGGUUGUGUGUUAUAGCCUUUGUCGAUACUGCCAGCCUAGACUGAGGACUGCGGUUUAUACCUAGGAUGUUGGCAUAAUGAUCUUAAGUCGCCCGUCUUGAAACACGGACCAAGGAGUCUAACGUCUAUGCGAGUGUUUGGGUGUAAAACCCGUACGCGUAAUGAAAGUGAACGUAGGUGGGGGCCCGUAUGGGUGCACCAUCGACCGAUCCUGAUGUCUUCGGAUGGAUUUGAGUAAGAGCAUAGCUGUUGGGACCCGAAAGAUGGUGAACUAUGCCUGAAUAGGGUGAAGCCAGAGGAAACUCUGGUGGAGGCUCGUAGCGGUUCUGACGUGCAAAUCGAUCGU
Molecule: ribosomal RNA, 702 nt
Filed under: Candida tropicalis
Lineage: Eukaryota; Fungi; Ascomycota; Pichiomycetes; Serinales; Debaryomycetaceae
Description: LSU rRNA
Rfam family: Eukaryotic large subunit ribosomal RNA
Source: RNAcentral